RNAcentral lists this unclassified non-coding RNA (588 nucleotides) under Drosophila yakuba. RNAcentral's name for it is "GE18250". The record is from RNAcentral. Lineage: Eukaryota; Metazoa; Arthropoda; Insecta; Diptera; Drosophilidae.
CCCGGUUCAGUGAGUUGUGGGCCCAAGAACGUGACGGUUGAACAUCGCAAGUGCAAGUGGAAGUCGAGGGUACCAACGAUCAGCAAGUCUAGAUGUCAAGAUGCCGGCUCAUUGGCAGUGGCUUCUUCUUGUUGGCCUCCUCCUGCUGAUUCCGCACCAUUCAGGGGCGGCCUCCAAAAGAGUGAAACUGUGCCUGCAGCCCAUGAUCAGUGGUCGGUGCUUUGGAUACGUGGAGAGCUAUGCCUACAAUCCCAUAAAGCGCCAUUGCGAACCCUUCAUCUACGGCGGUUGUGGCGGGAAUGACAAUCGAUUUGGCACCAAAGCUGAGUGCGAGUUCAACUGCCGGGAUGUUUGAGAAUGUCAGCCGAAAUGUCACAGUUACCAUAGCUAUCAUUAAAGUUAAAAGCCACACUCAUAGGGUAACAUAGGAAUAUGCUGACAUAAGCCGCGUUUCAAUGUUCAACUAAGUAACUUUGAGUGCCAAACGGGCCACAAUCACAGAUUUCCGCACGUUUUGAUAGUGCGACCAAUGAAAAAAAAUAAACACAAUUACGUCACGGGUCAACGGGGCGGAUGAUUGACAACCAG